UCCUACGGGAGGCAGCAGUGGGGAAUAUUGCACAAUGGGCGCAAGCCUGAUGCAGUCAUGCCGCGUGUAUGAAGAAGGCCUUCGGGUUGUAAAGUACUUUCAGCGGGGAGGAAGGUGAUGUGGUUAAUAACCGUAUCAAUUGACGUUACCCGCAGAAGAAGCACCGGCUAACCCCGUGCCAGCAGCCGUGGUAAUACGGAGGGUGCAAGCGUUAAUCGGAAUUACUGGGCGUAAAGCGCACGCAGGCGGUCUGACAAGUCAGAUGUGAAAUCCCCGGGCUUAACCUGGGAACUGCAUUUGAAACUGUCAGGCUGGAGUCUUGUAGAGGGGGGUAGAAUUCCAGGUGUAGCGGUGAAAUGCGUAGAGAUCUGGAGGAAUACCGGUGGCGAAGGCGGCCCCCUGGACAAAGACUGACGCUCAGGUGCGAAAGCGUGGGGAGCAAACAGGAUUAGAUACCCUGGUAGUCCACGCUGUAAACGAUGUCGACUUGGAGGUUGUUCCCUUGAGGAGUGGCUUCCGGAGCUAACGCGUUAAGUCGACCGCCUGGGGAGUACGGCCGCAAGGUUAAAACUCAAAUGAAUUGACGGA
This 588-nucleotide ribosomal RNA is filed under the name uncultured bacterium. RNAcentral describes it as "bacterial SSU rRNA". It matches the Rfam family "Bacterial small subunit ribosomal RNA", at positions 337 to 917 of the family's 1533-position model. The record is from RNAcentral.